Non-coding RNA from Chrysemys picta bellii (western painted turtle), 3904 nucleotides. NCBI's taxonomy places the organism in Eukaryota, Metazoa, Chordata, Testudines, Emydidae. The record is from RefSeq and is a predicted model, not a curated record.
GGGAAGAUGCAACAAAGGGGGGGGGACGUAUGGGGAAGGGAAGGGAUCUCAGGGAAUUUUCCCGACUGGAAACAAACAAACCCUAAAAUGGUUAAAGAAAACAUUUCCCUCUUUAUAUUACUUGGCUUGCACAAGCAUGUUCAUAACUGACACAAUAGCAUGAAGGGGACAUUGUUGCUCUAGCAAUGACAGAUCUGAGUGAUGAGCCUAACCAAAGUAUACAUGGCAUGAAAGAAGUUGCAUCCUUCAUUACACAUUUUAUUUUCAUUCUGCAGAGUCUGAUCCUGAUGAUUUUUCUCUUUCCAUAAAAUGUAGAGGCUUAUUUAGCUGAUCGCAACUGGUAUGAGGUCAAGGGAUCUUAGGGGGCUGAUUAGCAUGGGGAAUCUACCUUUGUUUUAACCAGAAUAACUCUAGUAAUUAAACAACUGUCCUGGUGACAGUGUAUAGCUUCCUCACUGUGUUCUUUCAGGCAGUUCCUUUUUUCGUUGUUGUCCAUCUUAGCUUUAGAGUGACAGCCUUGCCUGAGAUGUAAAUUAGAUGCAAAGGAAGCACAGAAUAAUUUCUAAAUCCCUGACUGGCAAGAAGAGCGAGGAUGCAAUGGGUAAGAAGUUUUGAGGGCCAUGACAUUGAGAAUCUUCAGGGGCCUCUGUCAGUUCUUUGCAGUGUUAGCUCAUAAGACUGCAGAUCUGGCCAUUUUAGACUUUAGUCUGGAGUCUGGUCCAAAUGGUAUAGAAUAAGACCAAUAGACAGAAAUGUCUCUGCUUGAUGCAUGGGGAAACUAAGUAAUGUAAUCUCUGAUUUUAUUCUACUCUAUCUAGGCCCUUAUAUGGCAUCCAUCAUUGUCUUGUCUGAAAACGUAAAGAGAACAUGAGCGAUUUUCACAGAUCAUCGGUGAACAAAAGUGACUCUUGAGAACCUCUGUACUGCUACAAACACAUAGUGUAGUUAGAGCUAGUCUGCAUGAUGCUGGAAGCACACAAAUAUCUGGCCCUCUUAGUAGCAGAUAUACGGCAAUGUAAGCGCUGAGGGUGCAAUCACUAGCUUCCUCUAUCCACUUGUUGCCAUAAAUGAAUAUGUUUUUAACAGCGUCUCACUGUGGCAAGGCCAGAAUCCAAGAGAGAUAGGAACAGGGGAUGGUAGGUUGGUUUCCCUCUCAUCUAUAAGAGGUUUUUUCGUUAUUGUUGGGUCUAAGAGACCUUGGACCUUGCAUGAUUUUUUUUUCCAGACAGGUGGAAAGUGUUGUGUCAAGGUGUGUGUGUGUGGGGGCGGGGGGACUGCAAAAUUCAAGUCAAAACAAGUUGACUUCUCACAACGUUUUCAAAAAUAUGAUUUAUUUUCCCCCACCCCCCUUCCUUCUCAUAACCUCCAUUGGUUUUAACAGCAGUGGAAUUGUUUUCGACACUUCUAUUACUGACCUUGCAGAUGUCCCAAGGCAAUCUGUGCUUAAAGUGUUAAUGCUCCCCCUACACACAGACCCAUAGUCAAUCCAAACCCUUCAGGAUGUCCUUCUCUUGAUAAUGCCCGCAUAAAUAUGAUGGUUUGAGGCAGAAGAAAAAUUGCAGGAUACCAGCUAGAGCAUCUAAAUGCUGCCUCAUCAUACAAAGGCACUUUAUAUUGUUCUCAUACAUCCUGGCAGCCAUUUUACAAAUGCCAAAGGGCACUUAGUGCUGGAUACAGAGACAGGAAGGAGAGAUAAGAAAGAAGUGCCUAUUAUUUCUUACCAAAAUGAAUCUGCAUCUCUAAUGGGAUACAAUGCCAGGCUUAUUACAACUAACCAGUCAGUCAGUGCUGAAGGAGAAAAGGCUGUAUGUGGGAUGGCAAGGGGAUACAAAGACUGGGAGAGAUUAAAGAAUGAGGACUCAGAUUCACAGAGUGUUCUGGUCACAUUUUCUUUGGAAAUACUUCAUUUCAGCACCACAUCGGAGAAGAUCACCUGAAACUUUAUUGAUCAACACAGCGGGAAGAGACUACUUCAUUGUACAAAGAAGUUUCCAUAGAUGACAGUCAUCAGCUAGUCCUUUCAGAUUUCAAUUCAAUAAGAUAUAAUGGCCAUGUAUGUUUUAUUGUGCAUAUUUUGGGCUGAACUAAUCCUUGCUGAAACUCCACUAGGUCAAUGGAGUUACACCCAGGAUUGAGUUAGCUGAUUUUGCUUCAGUGCGGCAAAACACUGUACCUGCUUCAUUAUCUAAAACGAAUUAGCUAGGGCUACCUGCCUCCUGGUGCAGUAAUGUGUAAAAUAAUGCAGCUCGUCUGCUUGCCCUAGAGCCAUAUCCUGGAUUUUGGACAACAUUAAAUUGCAGCAAUAAUUCUUGUACUGGAAUGCAACAACAAUGCAAUAAAGUUGGCAUUUUAAAAAGCAUUUAAAGCUCACCAUUUAGUGACACCCCCAAUCCCGACAGGCAACAGGUGUCCUCUAUGUAUUACUGACAACAUUUCUCUCAAGCUCAUCCCAUCUUUAGAUGGGUGUUUCUGGGUUUCCAGUUGUCCCAGACCCUACUGAUAUUUUCUCCUGAUCCAACCAAAGAAGCAAAGCAGCCAACAGACACAGCUCUGGACAUUCAGGAGCUAAAACUUUGAGGUCAAAGACAUUUAUUCCACCCCAUCAGGUCUCCAGAAGCAAUGCGGGAACGUCUCCUCCCACUAACAGAGCUCACAUCCAUAUUGCAUGAUUGGCCCAAAUCUGAAGAGCGGACGCACCUGUGGAUUCAAAUCACACAGUUAGAUGCAGAGACUGAGGGCCAAAUCCAACUUCUAUUGAUGUCAACAGAAAAACUUCCGUUGAUUUUAAAUGGAUCAGUAAUGAGCUGGUGUAUGCUCUUAGGAAUCAUCUUGUUCAGGCCAUUGACUGUGAAAAAUAGAAUCCAGCUGAAUGGCAAAUUUGGAAGGAACGGUGAGGAACCAAGCCAGAUGUCUAUAAAGCAUGGCACCUAUCAAAACCAACAUUGAAAGCUGAAAAUUGAAGUGACUGUGUCAUGAGCCGUUUUGAUGAGAGCAGAGAGAAAUGGAUAGGAUGGAAAAUAUUUAAAGAAACUGUGUGCUAACUUUGUCUUAUUGUUUAAAGAGCUUUUCCACACACAGAGUGGAGACCUUUUAUUCUAAAAUCCUUUUAAGAAACUGAAUUGAUUAACUUGUAACUGACAUAUCACACUAGCCAGUUCUUGACUUGGGAGAGGGCUUUGGGAUUAUAGCACAGGACUGGGUCCUAUUCCUGGUUGUGCCACAGACUUAUGUCACUUUGGGCAAGAUGCUUGAGGCCAGAUUAACAAAGCUAUUUAGGCACUUAAAAAUUCCGAUAGUAGCAUAUAGGCAGGUAAGGUGCUAAACUUCUAUUGACUUUCAAUCUGCAUCUUUAGAUGCCUAGUACUUUUGUAAACGUGGCCCUUAACCUUUCUGCAUCCCAGUUUCCCCAUUUGUUAAAUGGGGAUAAUAUUUUACUUCAGCGGAGUGAUGUGAGGGUUAAUGCAUCAUUGAUGAAGUGGUGGAUACUACAGAGAUGGGUACUGUAAAAAUGCAAUAAAUGGAUGAGCUUAUGUAGGUAUCAAAUUUGAUGCAAAACAGACUAUCAUAUUAUGAGGUGGACAUUAGUGACAAUGUUGAAAUACCCAUUCUAAUCUCAGAGUUUAAGGCCAGAAGAGAUCAUUAGAUCAUCUACUCUGAACUUGUGUAUAUCAAAUGCCAUUACAUUUCACCAAUAUACCCCUAUGGUAAGCCCACAGAGGAGCAUCUCUCAUGAUUAAAAGUGCUGGAAAUAAUAAUAAACCCUGUGCUUUGUGUUUGACAGAAUACCUGUGCCUACACCCUAUUGUUAUCUUUGUAUGAAGUAUGACUUGUGAGGUCUCAUUUGAAAACUCAAUUUACUGGUCAUUAUUGUCCUGGUAAAAUGUGCAACAACCUUGUAUGUGAA